GUGCUCACUUUGGCAGCAAAUAUACUGAAAUUGGAUGGAUACAGAGAAGAUUAGCAUGUCCCCUGGCAAGUAUAACAUGCAAAUUCUUGUAGUGUUCCAUAAUUUU
Meriones unguiculatus (Mongolian gerbil) is the source of this 106-nucleotide small nuclear RNA. NCBI's taxonomy places the organism in Eukaryota, Metazoa, Chordata, Mammalia, Rodentia, Muridae. The record is from Ensembl.